CGGAAUGAAGCUUACGAGAAUG
Molecule: microRNA, 22 nt
Filed under: Malus domestica (apple)
Lineage: Eukaryota; Viridiplantae; Streptophyta; Magnoliopsida; Rosales; Rosaceae
Description: mdm-miR10982b
Source: miRBase by way of RNAcentral